AAGCGCUUGUGACCAGACUUGUGCCCGGCGGAUCAACCAGCGUUCUCGCUGGUGCACUCCUCCGGGCUCAGGCCAACAUCGGUUCUGGGGGUCGGUUAAAGGCUCGGGGAAUGUAUCUACCCCCCGGGCGUAGACUUAUAGCCCCGAGUGUCAUGCGGCCUUCCGGGACCGAGGAACGCGCUUCGGCUCGGAUGUUGGCGUAAUGGUUGUCAGCGA
RNAcentral lists this ribosomal RNA (216 nucleotides) under Chaetothyriales sp. RNAcentral describes it as "partial large subunit ribosomal RNA". The record is from RNAcentral. Lineage: Eukaryota; Fungi; Ascomycota; Eurotiomycetes; Chaetothyriales.